Molecule: unclassified non-coding RNA, 440 nt
Filed under: soil metagenome
Description: partial contains internal transcribed spacer 2 and large subunit ribosomal RNA
Rfam family: 5.8S ribosomal RNA (bases 1-120)
Source: RNAcentral
GAUGAAGAACGCAGCGAAAUGCGAUAAGUAAUGUGAAUUGCAGAAUUCAGUGAAUCAUCGAAUCUUUGAACGCACAUUGCGCUUCCUGGCACUCCGGGGAGCAUGCCCGUUUCAGAAUCAUAAGAAUCUCGCAGAUCUUGGGGGGGUCGCUUUUGGGCCGCCCCGCCAAGAGACGCGGAUCUGGACGUCUUGCGCACCAGUGUGCAAACGUCUGAAAGUGAUUGUAUGCAUCCCAUUGCGCCGUCCGAUGCCCUUCCAGUGCAACAGAUUAGUUUCUUACCCACCGAGAGAGCAUCGGCCGCGGCCAGUGGACAUGGAUACCCAAACCAACCGAUUGCGGGACGAGCUUCUGCCGUGGUAGAAGCUUGCUCUCCCAAAACACUUGGUCUGAAAUCGGGCAAGAAAACCCGCUGAACUUAAGCAUAUCAAUAAGCGGAGGA